RNAcentral lists this long non-coding RNA (1113 nucleotides) under Monodelphis domestica (gray short-tailed opossum). RNAcentral describes it as "lncRNA (ENSMODG00000044494.1)". The record is from RNAcentral. Lineage: Eukaryota; Metazoa; Chordata; Mammalia; Didelphimorphia; Didelphidae.
AUGAACUUCUGGAGUCUGUAUUUAUUUGUGGCAUUAUGCUCCAAUUUAAGCCUCUCUAAAACCUUGCUAUUGCACUUCCUGUUUAUCUCACAGAGUUAUUGGAGGAUUAAAGAAAAUGGUAUCAUGUGCUUUGUAACUAGAGUACCAGUUGGAAGAAAAGAAAAGAGAAGCUCUUGGAUCAAAUAUAUACAUGGAGAAGACAAAGAAAUGCUCUUGAGUCUGUUGCCUCUGUCAAGAAGUAACAUGCUUUGCUCAUCAUCAUUCUUCAGGAAUCAUGUUGCAUAGGAUGUCAGGAAGAAGAUCCGUUUUCUUCGGGAGCACUAAGUGGGAAUCCCUUCUUUUGAGACUCAGCCUGGAGAUCGGGUCAGUAACUGGACAGAAGACUAGUUACAGCUGCCUCUUGUGGUGCUCCCUUUGGGCAGUUCUUAUGGAAACUCAGGUUUGAAGCUAUUAACACUCCCUCUGCUUUCGCAGUGACCAGCAGUGCUUCUGAGGUCCUAGAAAAGGGUUCAUUUUUCGGAGGUCAGUAGGAAAACCGGCAUUUAGAGAAAAGCCUCAGAGGAUAGCAUCUCUUUGAGAGUGCUCUGACUGGAUGAUAAAAGCAAUUUCAAUGAAGUGAAACCUGCUAAUUUUGACUCCACUGAUCAGGAGUUUGUGGAUUGAAGUUCAUUCUCCACUUGAAGAAAGUUCUCGCUCUGCUCUUAACAAAGAUUUCAAAGGGAAUAAUUUAAAUGCUUAGGAGGAGACUUUUCAAGCACUUCAGAAGCACUGAUUCAAUUUCACACGAUCAACUCACUUACACAUUGUUCUUAACUACUCAUUAAAAAGCGUGGCUAAGUAACACUUUGUUUUAGUCUCUUUCUAGUUAAUCUACAUUAAAGAUACUCUACAAUUCUGGCAUUUGAGGAAUUCUGAUGUAUUUUCUCCUGAAUUAGUAUGGAAGGCUUUCUAUAUAUGACAUAUCAGUAAAGAUCUGUCUGUGGGAUCAUUUAGCUUGGGUCUCCGAUAUGUGUGCAUGAAGUGCAGUCUUUUUGGUAUCACGAGGCUGUUGUCAACCUGCAUGUAAAGCACACGUUAUGAUGAAAUAAAGGUUCUCCCGAAUUUUGUGGUACA